UACGAAGGGGGCUAGCGUUGUUCGGAAUCACUGGGCGUAAAGCGCACGCAGGCGGAUUGAUAAGUCAGGGGUGAAAUCCCGGAGCUCAACUUCGGAAUUGCCUUUGAUACUGUCUGUCUUGAGUCCGGGAGAGGUGAGUGGAAUUCCUAGUGUAGAGGUGAAAUUCGUAGAUAUUCGGAGGAACACCAGUGGCGAAGGCGGCUCACUGGUCCAUUACUGACGCUGAGGUGCGAAAGCGUGGGGAGCAAACAGG
RNAcentral lists this ribosomal RNA (253 nucleotides) under uncultured bacterium. RNAcentral describes it as "partial 16S ribosomal RNA". It matches the Rfam family "Bacterial small subunit ribosomal RNA", at positions 524 to 776 of the family's 1533-position model. The record is from RNAcentral.